This 250-nucleotide unclassified non-coding RNA is filed under the name plant metagenome. Its description in RNAcentral is "partial contains small subunit ribosomal RNA, internal transcribed spacer 1, and 5.8S ribosomal RNA". The stretch from base 207 to 250 matches the Rfam family "5.8S ribosomal RNA", at positions 1 to 44 of the family's 154-position model. The record is from RNAcentral.
GUAGGUGAACCUGCGGAAGGAUCAUCACCAAGUUCGCUGGCCCCAGGGUUCGAAGCCCGGCAGGGCGACGAACCCUCGGCCUGCGAAUCAUGUUUUCAGCGCUGUGCACGAGUAGUGGGCCAUCGCCAUGCUGCCCGAUAGGGCGGCAGGGCGGAGAGCCAACAUUUACACCCGAUAGUCUGAAGCAUUAGUCAUACAAAUAGAACAACUUUUAUCAGUGGAUCUCUGGGCUCUCGCAUCGAUGAAGAAC